GAUGAACGCUGGCGGCGUGCCUAAUACAUGCAAGUCGAGCGAACAGACGAGGAUCUUGCUCCUCUGACGUUAGCGGCGGACGGGUGAGUAACACGUGGAUAACCUACCUAUAAGACUGGGAUAACGUCGGGAAACCGGAGCUAAUACCGGAUAAUAUAUUGAACCGCAUGGUUCAAUAGUGAAAGACGGUUUUGCUGUCACUUAUAGAUGGAUCCGCGCCGCAUUAGCUAGUUGGUAAGGUAACGGCUUACCAAGGCAACGAUGCGUAGCCGACCUGAGAGGGUGAUCGGCCACACUGGAACUGAGACACGGUCCAGACUCCUACGGGAGGCAGCAGUAGGGAAUCUUCCGCAAUGGGCGAAAGCCUGACGGAGCAACGCCGCGUGAGUGAUGAAGGUCUUCGGAUCGUAAAACUCUGUUAUUAGGGAAGAACAAAUGUGUAAGUAACUAUGCACGUCUUGACGGUACCUAAUCAGAAAGCCACGGCUAACUACGUG
Molecule: ribosomal RNA, 497 nt
Filed under: uncultured bacterium
Lineage: Bacteria
Description: partial 16S ribosomal RNA
Rfam family: Bacterial small subunit ribosomal RNA
Source: RNAcentral